GUGUCAGCCGCCGCGGUAAUACGUAGGGUGCGAGCGUUAAUCGGAAUUACUGGGCGUAAAGCGUGCGCAGGCGGUUUGGUAAGUCAGAUGUGAAAUCCCCGGGCUCAACCUGGGAACUGCAUUUGAGACUGCCAAGCUGGAGUUUGGCAGAGGGGGGUGGAAUUCCACGUGUAGCAGUGAAAUGCGUAGAGAUGUGGAGGAACACCGAUGGCGAAGGCAGCCCCCUGGGCCAAUACUGACGCUCAUGCACGAAAGCGUGGGGAGCAAACAGGAUUAGAUACCCUGGUAGUCCACGCCCUAAACGAUGUCAACUAGGUGUUGGGAGGGUUAAACCUUUUAGUGCCGUAGCUAACGCGUGAAGUUGACCGCCUGGGGAGUACGGCCGCAAGGCUAAAACUCAAAUAAAUUGACGG
RNAcentral lists this ribosomal RNA (413 nucleotides) under uncultured bacterium. RNAcentral describes it as "bacterial SSU rRNA". It matches the Rfam family "Bacterial small subunit ribosomal RNA", at positions 505 to 916 of the family's 1533-position model. The record is from RNAcentral.